RNAcentral lists this ribosomal RNA (252 nucleotides) under uncultured bacterium. RNAcentral's name for it is "partial 16S ribosomal RNA". It matches the Rfam family "Bacterial small subunit ribosomal RNA", at positions 524 to 776 of the family's 1533-position model. The record is from RNAcentral.
UACGUAGGUCCCGAGCGUUGUCCGGAUUUAUUGGGCGUAAAGCGAGCGCAGGUGGUUUAUUAAGUCUGGUGUAAAAGGCAGUGUCUCAACCAUUGUAUGCAUUGGAAACUGGUAGACUUGAGUGCAGGAGAGGAGAGUGGAAUUCCAUGUGUAGCGGUGAAAUGCGUAGAUAUAUGGAGGAACACCGGUGGCGAAAGCGGCUCUCUGGCCUGUAACUGACACUGAGGCUCGAAAGCGUGGGGAGCAAACAGG